GUGGCGAACGGGUGAGUAACACGUGAGCAAUCUGCCCUUAACUCUGGGAUAACUGCGGGAAACUGUAGCUAAUACCGGAUACUUUCCUCGCUGGGCAUCCAGCGGGGAAGAAAGAAUUUCGGUCAAGGAUGAGCUCGCGGCCUAUCAGCUAGUUGGUGAGGUAAUGGCUCACCAAGGCGACGACGGGUAGCCGGCCUGAGAGGGUGACCGGCCACACUGGAACUGAGACACGGUCCAGACUCCUACGGGAGGCAGCAGUGGGGAAUAUUGCACAAUGGGCGAAAGCCUGAUGCAGCAACGCCGCGUGAGGGAUGAAGGCCUUCGGGUUGUAAACCUCUUUUAGCAGGGAAGAAGCGAAAGUGACGGUACCUGCAGAAAAAGCACCGGCUAACUACGUGCCAGCAGCCGCGGUAAUACGUAGGGUGCAAGCGUUGUCCGGAAUUAUUGGGCGUAAAGAGCUCGUAGGCGGUUUGUCACGUCUGCUGUGAAAAUCCGAGGCUCAACCUCGGACUUGCAGUGGGUACGGGCAGGCUAGAGUGCGGUAGGGGAGAAGGGAAUUCCUGGUGUAGCGGUGGAAUGCGCAGAUAUCAGGAGGAACACCAAUGGCGAAGGCACUUCUCUGGGCCGUAACUGACGCUGAGGAGCGAAAGCGUGGGGAGCGAACAGGAUUAGAUACCCUGGUAGUCCAC
RNAcentral lists this ribosomal RNA (689 nucleotides) under uncultured Microbacteriaceae bacterium. Its description in RNAcentral is "bacterial SSU rRNA". It matches the Rfam family "Bacterial small subunit ribosomal RNA", at positions 95 to 798 of the family's 1533-position model. The record is from RNAcentral. Lineage: Bacteria; Bacillati; Actinomycetota; Actinomycetes; Micrococcales; Microbacteriaceae.